UGGAGGGCCAGCCACCUGCUUAGUCGGAGUAAGAAUGCCUGCAGAGACCUGGACCAGAGUGGGCAGAAUGGAGAUGGAGUCUCACUCUGCCGCCCGAGCUGGAGUACAGUGGUGUGAUCUCGGCUCACUGCAACCUCCACCACCUGGGUUCAAGCGAUUCUCCUGUCUCAGCUUCCCGAAUAGCUGGGACAACAGGGCCUAAAUAGUGUUCCUUGGAGAGAAAAUUACCCUGGGAAUGAAUAAACAAGAGCAAUGCAAAUGGU
This 263-nucleotide long non-coding RNA is filed under the name Homo sapiens (human). RNAcentral describes it as "HSALNT0357983". The record is from RNAcentral. Lineage: Eukaryota; Metazoa; Chordata; Mammalia; Primates; Hominidae.